AUGAUAAGGUUAUUCCGUGUGCCUGAAGGGAAAUCUGAAUUAUUCAUCCUCAGUAGGUUGCUAACCUCGCCUAGAACUACCAUUCUCUUCGCGGCGCAUGGGACUGGGAGGACGUUUCCACUACAGGCCAUUUGUGUGAAUAUUUUCCUGAAACAAGAUGGGGAGGUGAUAAAAUAUAAAUGCUCCCUCGGUCCCUUGUUAUAUUUAUUAUUGAUGGCAGGACCAGCGUUGGUUUGCUUCCUCAGUCUUGGAAAGCCACAGGGAGACCUUGGUCAAGCUGCUCUCUCUCAACCUCAGAAGAAGACCUCCUUCUCCAAACAAAUCUUUCCAAGAAAACCCAAACAAAUUUGGGCACAAAAAUCUGGAAAUGUACAACUAUUAAAAUAAACAUAGUGUCCCUACUUCGCGGAUUUUCACUUAUUGCGGGUGGUCCUGGAACCAAACCCCAGAGAUAAGUGAGGGUUGAGAGAUUUCAUGGGAAAGUUGGGGAGGAAAUUCACGGGAGACAUCAUGCUUUCAUGGGUGUCUAUGAAACAGCAAGUUGUUAACAUUAAGGGCAGUUCAGGCAACACUGUGUUAGAGUGAGAAGCUAAACCUGAGUUCUCUUGUUCGUGGUUCAAGGCAAACCUAUCAGAAUGUAGAAUGACCCUCAAAUCAUUUCAAAUUUUAUAGUUUACACAUGAAGUCGCCUUACACAUGGGUAUAUACCAGGCAUGGGCAAACCAUGGGGUGUCUUUUCUGAAGCAGCUAUGCAUGGAAUAGUUUCAAUAGUGGCAUCAAUAGUUCGUGGCUUCUAUGGAUUGGAGUUUGGUGAGGCACCAGCCCUCUUUGCAAAGAAGGCUAAAGACCAUAUCAAACUACAACUCUCAGCAUUCUACAGCAUUGAGUUAUGGCAGUUAAAGUGGUUCAACACUGCAUUCAUUCUGUAGUGUAAAUGCACCCCAUGUUGCAAUGAAUCCAUCUCAAGUUUACUUCAUCUAUAGAUGCGCUCCAAAGUAUUGGAUCCAAUCCUCCAUAUUAUUUCUUGUCAGUCUCCUUUCCUCACCAACUGCUCAAAUAGUCAUGCUUGUCGCACCUCAGGUUAGCUUCACCUUGCUAAAGACACCAGGCUGCACACAGAAUGUCGUCUUUUGUAGUUUAUUAGGAAAUAGAGAAAAGGCAGUUCAUAAAAGUCAAAAGUUUAGUUCCAAAAGAUAGUUGCAAAGACAAGGCUGCAAGAAACAAAUCCAUAGAGACAAUAGACAUAAAGCAAAGUCCUUUCAAUAGACACCAAAGUCCCAGAAACAAAGAUACAUCCAAACCAUAAGAUAACACAGGAAAGCAGUCUUGGUUCUUGAUUCAAGCGAGGAAAUUGCUUUGACGAAGAUUUCCCUCUCAGCUGACUGCUUUAAUAGCAUAACAUGAAAGCAUUUCUUUGCCCUUUGACCUCCCUCUUAUUUGGUAUUCUAAGACUUUUGCGCAACUCCUGAAAUCCCAGAUGACUAACCCGAUCGAGAGAUGCGGCCUCAUCAUCAAGGCCACAGGCUUCGUUAGUAUUAUCAGACUGAGGCUGGGAGCUACUCUCCCUUUCUGCUUCUUGCACCUGAGAACCAUCCUCGUUAACAACAUCAUUUCUUCCCGUGGGAAAGCCUCCCUGCUCUUCAUUUUCCACAGCAGGAACACCCUGCACCUGAAUCCCAUAAUUCCCAUCCAGUCAUCUUGAAACUCAUCCUGAACCUGAAUCCCAUCAUCUUGAAACUGCAUCCCAGAAUCUUCAUCAGAAUCACACAGAGGCUGAGUCACAACAAUGCUCUUCAUUUUUAUUUUAUUAGAUAUUAUUUGAAAAAGUCAUUUUUUUUGUAUUUUCCAAAAUGCAUAAUGUCGUGGGUGAACUACAACUCACACCGUGCCAGGUUUACCCCUUGAAACUCCAUCAGUGGUUAAAGUUUGUCAUCUUGGGCAAGUUUGCUCUCUAGAUGCAUCAUCGGUGGGGUCCGUUGUUGUUGAUUGUUGAUUUAUUGUUGUAAACUUGUGUUUUUGUUGUUUUGUUUUUAUAUUGUGAUGUUUGGGCAAGGCCCCAUGUGAGUCGCCCCGAGUCCCUUCGGGGAGAUGGGGCGGGGUACAAGAAUAAAAUUAUUAUUAUUAUUAUUAUUAUUAUUAUUAUUAUUAUUAUCCGUGAGGUCUCUGGCUGUAGGUUGCACUACAACUCUCACAAUGGUGGGUUAAUCCUCCUCAAAGUCCUCCAGUAGGUUCAGUUAGUCAUGGGGAUUCUGUUGCCAAUUUGAUCCAGAUCCGUCACCAUUGGUGGUCACAAUGUCUCUGGGUUUAGGAGAACUACAACUCCCAGAAAUGAAGGUCAAUUCCCUUCAAAACCUACCAGUAUUCUAAUUUGGGCAUAUUGGGUAUGAGUGCUAAAUUUGGUCCAGAUCCAUAUCUCUGGAUGCGAGUGAACUACAACUCCCUGAAAUCAAGGUGAAUCCCCCCAAAGCCCUCUAGUACUUUUAGUUGGUCAUGGGGGUUCUGAUGCCAAAUGUGGUCCAGGUCCAUUGUUGGUGGGUGCCACAGUGCUGUGUCUUGAUGCAGGGUGAACUACAACUUCCAUCCUUUCCGAAAUGCAAGGAGCAAAACUUCUUCAGGAUGUCAAUCUUUCUCUGGCCUCGACGAGAAAUGCUCCAAAGUCUUCGGGAGGGGGGAAAAGCUUGUGAAAGCCUUCCCUUUUAGGCAGACGUUGUCAGCCGGCUGCGUUGUUUUUACGGUCGAGCAACAAUUGCCCGGGAGAUGCGUUUUGUGGGAAGAGGCUCUUCGACACUUCAAUCCGAUGGGGAACAAUUAUUUCCGAGGAAGCACGCUCGUUCGUGCCCGCUGCAUUUUUAAAAACGAGGGGGAGAAAAAUCGUUUUUCCACAACAUGCAUCUUCAACGCUCACACAACGUUGUGCGCCCUGCCAAACUGUACAAAUUUGCGAUUCGGGAACAAGUGGAAGGACAUGGUUCUUCACUUCCUUCCCUUUCCCUUGGUGCUGUUCUUGACAUUUGAGUAAAGAGGCUGCUAAAAGCAAGCGCAAACACAGAAGUAGUCCUAGGAAUUGUUUUUUCCCCUUUUAAAACAUCUUUUUUUGGAUAUUGGCAUAUGUAGCCAACCACUCAACUUGCUGUUAUGGAGUACCGCAUAUGCAAUGCUUACUCAUGUAUAAGUCGACCUCAGGGCCCUUAAACAAACAUUCGUAUGAAACCAAAAGUAUCCCAGCCAUUGAAAUAUUUAAAAGCAAGAGCUUAAAAAGACACGACUAACACUUAACAGAUUGAGAAAUAAAUUUGCUGAUAUACAUUGGCUAUCUAGUUAAAUACUGUGUAACCAGGCAUGGGCAAACUUUGGCCCUCCAGGUGUUUUGGACUUCAACUCCCACAAUUCCUAACAGCCUACCGGCUGUUAGGAAUUGUAGGAGUUGAAGUCCA
RNAcentral lists this long non-coding RNA (3434 nucleotides) under Anolis carolinensis (green anole). RNAcentral describes it as "lncRNA (ENSACAG00000039311.1)". The record is from RNAcentral. Lineage: Eukaryota; Metazoa; Chordata; Lepidosauria; Squamata; Anolidae.